This 46-nucleotide non-coding RNA is filed under the name unclassified sequences. Its description in RNAcentral is "Acido-Lenti-1 RNA". It matches the Rfam family "Acido-Lenti-1 RNA". RNAcentral also lists the same sequence under 1 other name. The record is from RNAcentral.
CCCAGCGAUGAAUCGCUGGGCUAUUUUCGAGCGUCCCGGCGGGACG